GGUGAACGCACGGCCCAGGUGCUGCAGGAGCCGGGUUGGUGCCUCUCGCUGGGCUCAGCCCCGGGGACCCCCAGAGCAGCGUGUCCCUGUCCCCCCGGCCAGCCCUGUGCCCUCCCAGCAGGGAAUAGAGGAGGAGAGUCCCUGGCGCGGUGUCUCCGAGCAGGACCCGGGCCAGCCCGAGGCAGGGACAGGAGCCGGACAUGCCAGAGCCAGCCCCGCUCGGCGGGGACAGGAGAGCGGCGGAGAAGAAGCGGGUGGAGAAGGUGGGAGCCAAGGGCAGCGCUGCCGGGCCUCCAGUCCCCAGGAGCCUUCCCGUGCAGAGCAAGGUGGAGCCGCCCAGCCUGGACCCUGCUGAGGAGCCGCUGCUCUGGGAAGGGCUCACCCUCAACAAGUGCAUCCUGGUGGCCUCCGUCGUCGCCUUGCUCAGCGUCACCUUCCAGGUGCUCCAAGGUGAGUCGGGAGCCGGACGGAGCGGGAAGGGGUGGUCCGACCGUGCUGCCACCUCCUGGCUCCUGUCCCCUCCUCUCUUUCAGCGCCGUGCUCCAAGGAGGGGCUCGCCCGCGGCCGGCAGGAACCUCCGCCCCCUCCCGUUCCCGGUGGGUCCCGCGCUCCGUCCCUCCCCGCUGCCCCGGAUCCAGCCACGUCCCAGGCCCUGGGAGCCCCUGUCUGGGGCAUCCCACCCAAACAUCUCAUCAUCCUCAGCUGACUGUGGCCUGUCCCUCUCCCCUCCCAGAGGUCGUGAGCCCCAAGGCGGAGGAGAUCCCGGAGGUGGUGACUGCCCAGCCUGCGCCGCCACCGGACAGCGGCGCGGUGGAGGAUGAUGAUGAUGAUGAUGACGGUGACGAUUACGAUGACAGCGAAGCUGACAGCAACCUGGCAGAACCCUGGAUCUUCAAGAAGUGGUUUGGCCGCACAACACCAGAGGAUGAGGAAAAGGAUGGGGACAAGGGUGAGGACAAGGAUGAGGAUGAAGACAAGGAUGAAGAACCUGCAGAUAUCCCUGAGGUACCAAUAGCUGUGAUGGAGGAGAAGAAGAGCCAGGAAAAGAAGGUGGAGAAGGAGGAGGAAGAAACGGAGGAGAAGGAGGAAGAAAAAGAGGGGAAUGAGGAGGAAGAAGAGGAGGAGGAGAAGGAGAAGGAGGAGGAAGAGGAGGAUGAGGAAAAGGAGAAGAAGAAGAAGCAGGAGAAGAAGGAGAAAGCCCGGGAAGGCCGUGCUGUCCAUACGGAGCGGAGCAGCCGGAGGGAGGCACGAGCCAAGGACAGGACACCGGGGGACAAACCCGGCAGAACCCCCAGGGCCCCCAGGGAACCGGAGCAGCUGCCCCAGAAAAAGCGGGACCGGGAGAGGAAGGAGAGGAAGGAGAGGCGGCGGGAGCGGGAUGAGGCCAGGAGGGAGGGGUGGAAGGGCCGUCCCGGCAGGGCUGAGGGCGGCCGGGAGAGCCCGAGGCGGGACUGGAAGCAGCAGAAGGGCAGGAAGCCCUGGGAGCUGGCGCCGGGCAGGGACGGCAGGGCCAGGGAGGGCAAGAGACGCGACUGA
This 1536-nucleotide long non-coding RNA is filed under the name Parus major (Great Tit). RNAcentral describes it as "lncRNA (ENSPMJG00000010607.1)". The record is from RNAcentral. Lineage: Eukaryota; Metazoa; Chordata; Aves; Passeriformes; Paridae.